UACGGAGGGAGCAAGCGUUACUCGGAAUUAUUGGGCGUAAAGGGCGCGUAGGCGAUUUAGCAAGUCUUGUGUGAAAGCCCACAGCUUAACUGUGGAAGUGCACAAGAUACUGCUGAAUUUGAGUUCAGGAGAGGAAGGCAGAAUUCCUGGUGUAGCGGUGAAAUGCGUAGAUAUCAGGAGGAAUACCAGUGGCGAAGGCGGCCUUCUGGACUGACACUGACGCUGAGGCGCGAAAGCUAGGGGAGCAAACGGG
RNAcentral lists this ribosomal RNA (253 nucleotides) under uncultured bacterium. Its description in RNAcentral is "partial 16S ribosomal RNA". It matches the Rfam family "Bacterial small subunit ribosomal RNA", at positions 524 to 776 of the family's 1533-position model. The record is from RNAcentral.